RNAcentral lists this ribosomal RNA (429 nucleotides) under Verrucomicrobiota bacterium. RNAcentral describes it as "Verrucomicrobia bacterium partial 16S ribosomal RNA". It matches the Rfam family "Bacterial small subunit ribosomal RNA", at positions 355 to 776 of the family's 1533-position model. Lineage: Bacteria; Pseudomonadati; Verrucomicrobiota. The record is from RNAcentral.
UGGGGAAUCUUCCGCAAUGGACGAAAGUCUGACGGAGCAACGCCGCGUGAGUGAAGACGGCCUUCGGGUUGUAAAGCUCUGUGAUUCGGGACGAAAGGCCAUAUGUGAAUAAUAUAUGGAAAUGACGGUACCGAAAAAGCAAGCCACGGCUAACUACGUGCCAGCAGCCGCGGUAAUACGUAGGGCGCGAGCGUUGUCCGGAAUUAUUGGGCGUAAAGGGCUUGUAGGUGGCGUGUCGCGUCUGCUGUGAAAUUCCAGGGCUUAACUUUGGGAUUGCAGUGGGUACGGGCAUGCUAGAGUGCAGUAGGGGAGAUUGGAAUUCCUGGUGUAGCGGUGAAAUGCGCAGAUAUCAGGAGGAACACCGGUGGCGAAGGCGGGUCUCUGGGCUGUUACUGACGCUGAGGAGCGAAAGCGUGGGGAGCGAACAGG